Molecule: long non-coding RNA, 189 nt
Organism: Magnolia sinica
Lineage: Eukaryota; Viridiplantae; Streptophyta; Magnoliopsida; Magnoliales; Magnoliaceae
Exons: 2
Source: RefSeq, a predicted model, not a curated record
CCUCUCUCUCUCCCCUCUCUCAGGCAAUCAAAUGAUCAGUGUCAGAUCAAACUGCAUGCUUCAUAAAUGAUCAGUGGAUGGCAACGCAAGCUCGAUACGGAUUAUGAUGUGAUGAAGACAUUACAUAUUGUUAUUCAAAGUUGACUAGGCGCAAUCCCUUUCCUACACAAUCGAAGGACUCAUGGCCCC